GACGAACGCUGGCGGCGUGCCUAAUACAUGUAAGUAGAACGCACAGUUUAUACCGUAGCUUGCUACACCAUAGACUGUGAGUUGCGAACGGGUGAGUAACGCGUAGGUAACCUGCCUGGUAGCGGUGGAUAACUAUUGGAAACUAUAGCUAUUACCGCAUAAUAUUAAUUAUUGCAUGAUAAUUAAUUGAAAGGAGCAAUUGCACCCCUACCAGAUGGACCUUCGUUGUAGUAGCUAGUAGGGGAGGUAACGGCUCAACUAGGCGACGAUACAUAGCCGACCUGAGCGGGUGAUCGGCCACCCUGGGAAUGAGACACGGCCCAGACUCCUACGGGAGGCAGCAGUAGGGAAUCUGCGGCAAGGGACGAAAGUCUGACCGAGAAACGCCGCGUGACGGAAGAAGGUUUUCGGAUCGUAAAGCUCUGUUGUAAGAGAAGAACGGGUGUGAGAGUGGAAAGUUCACACUGUGACGGUAUCUUACCAGAAAGAUACGGCUAACUACGUG
This 505-nucleotide ribosomal RNA is filed under the name uncultured bacterium. RNAcentral describes it as "partial 16S ribosomal RNA". It matches the Rfam family "Bacterial small subunit ribosomal RNA", at positions 28 to 507 of the family's 1533-position model. The record is from RNAcentral.